UACGGAGGGGGUUAGCGUUGUUCGGAAUGACUGGGCGUAAAGCGCGCGUAGGCGGAUCAGGAAGUUGGGGGUGAAAUCCCGGGGCUCAACCCCGGAAUGGCCUUCAAAACUCCUGGUCUUGAGUUCGAGAGAGGUGAGUGGAAUUCCGAGUGUAGAGGUGAAAUUCGUGGAUAUUCGGAGGAACACCAGUGGCGAAGGCGGCUCACUGGCUCGACACUGACGCUGAGGUGCGAAAGCGUGGGGAGCAAACAGG
This 253-nucleotide ribosomal RNA is filed under the name uncultured bacterium. RNAcentral describes it as "partial 16S ribosomal RNA". It matches the Rfam family "Bacterial small subunit ribosomal RNA", at positions 524 to 776 of the family's 1533-position model. The record is from RNAcentral.